ACGCACGCUGGCGGCGUGCCUAACACCUGCAAGUCGAGCGAAUGAAGUUCCUUCGGGAAUGGAUUUAGCGGCGGACGGGUGAGUAACACGUGGGCAACCUGCCUCAUAGAGGGGAAUAGCCUCCCGAAAGGGAGAUUAAUACCGCAUAAGAUUGUAGUACCGCAUGAUACAGCAAUUAAAGGAGCAAUCCGCUAUGAGAUGGGCCCGCGGCGCAUUAGCUAGUUGGUGAGGUAAUGGCUCACCAAGGCGACGAUGCGUAGCCGACCUGAGAGGGUGAUCGGCCACAUUGGGACUGAGACACGGCCCAGACUCCUACGGGAGGCAGCAGUGGGGAAUAUUGCACAAUGGGGGAAACCCUGAUGCAGCAACGCCGCGUGAGUGAUGACGGCCUUCGGGUUGUAAAGCUCUGUCUUCAGGGACGAUAAUGACGGUACCUGAGGAGGAAGCCACGGCUAACUACGUG
This 463-nucleotide ribosomal RNA is filed under the name uncultured bacterium. Its description in RNAcentral is "partial 16S ribosomal RNA". It matches the Rfam family "Bacterial small subunit ribosomal RNA", at positions 29 to 507 of the family's 1533-position model. The record is from RNAcentral.